Molecule: small RNA, 259 nt
Filed under: Mycoplasmoides pneumoniae M129
Lineage: Bacteria; Bacillati; Mycoplasmatota; Mycoplasmoidales; Mycoplasmoidaceae
Description: Mycoplasma pneumoniae M129 ncRNA
Source: RNAcentral
ACACUUAGACUUUUUUUGAAAUCUAAAUAGUGCUAGAUAAAGCGCUAAUUAUAUACAGCAAAGAACUACCAGUUAUUUGUUGGUUCUUUAGCAAUCGCAAACAUCAAAUAGGAAACUAGAUCAAUUGGUGCUGUAACCUCAUAAGACUGACGUUCGAGAUUAUGUAAGUUUUGUGAUUUCAACAAGCCGUUGACACCAUUACUAUCACCACCAACAGCGGUAAUCUUUUGAAUGGAGUGCGGUACAAAUAAUAGCUUGU